Molecule: unclassified non-coding RNA, 345 nt
Filed under: soil metagenome
Description: partial contains 5.8S ribosomal RNA, internal transcribed spacer 2, and large subunit ribosomal RNA
Rfam family: 5.8S ribosomal RNA (bases 1-119)
Source: RNAcentral
GAUGAAGAACGUAGCGAAAUGCGAUAAGUAAUGCGAAUUGCAGAAUCCGUGAGUCAUCGAAUCUUUGAACGCACAUUGCGCCCGCCAGUAUUCUGGCGGGCAUGCCUGUUCGAGCGUCAUUUCAACCCUCAAGCCCUCGGGUUUGGUGUUGGGGAUCGGCGAGCCUUUCUGGCAAGCCGGCCCCGAAAUCUAGUGGCGGUCUCGCUGCAGCCUCCAUUGCGUAGUAGUAAAACCCUCGCAACUGGAACGCGGCGCGGCCAAGCCGUUAAACCCCCAACUUCUGAAUGUUGACCUCGGAUCAGGUAGGAAUACCCGCUGAACUUAAGCAUAUCAAUAAGCGGAGGA